This 465-nucleotide ribosomal RNA is filed under the name Vreelandella stevensii. RNAcentral's name for it is "partial 16S ribosomal RNA". It matches the Rfam family "Bacterial small subunit ribosomal RNA", at positions 338 to 795 of the family's 1533-position model. Lineage: Bacteria; Pseudomonadati; Pseudomonadota; Gammaproteobacteria; Oceanospirillales; Halomonadaceae. The record is from RNAcentral.
CCUACGGGGGGCAGCAGUGGGGAAUAUUGGACAAUGGGCGAAAGCCUGAUCCAGCCAUGCCGCGUGUGUGAAGAAGGCCUUCGGGUUGUAAAGCACUUUUAGUGGGGAAGAAAGCCUUGGGGCUAAUACCCUCGAGGAAGGACAUCACCCACAGAAGAAGCACCGGCUAACUCCGUGCCAGCAGCCGCGGUAAUACGGAGGGUGCGAGCGUUAAUCGGAAUUACUGGGCGUAAAGCGCGCGUAGGCGGUCUGAUAAGCCGGUUGUGAAAGCCCCGGGCUCAACCUGGGAACGGCAUCCGGAACUGUCAGGCUAGAGUGAAGGAGAGGAAGGUAGAAUUCCCGGUGUAGCGGUGAAAUGCGUAGAGAUCGGGAGGAAUACCAGUGGCGAAGGCGGCCUUCUGGACUGACACUGACGCUGAGGUGCGAAAGCGUGGGUAGCAAACAGGAUUAGAUACCCCGGUAGUC